Agrilus planipennis (emerald ash borer) is the source of this 180-nucleotide non-coding RNA. The record is from Rfam. Lineage: Eukaryota; Metazoa; Arthropoda; Insecta; Coleoptera; Buprestidae.
ACCUACCAAAUCUACAAACAACACUAUCCUAUAAAUAUUCCCAAAUUUCAUAUCUCAAGAAACGGCCUGAGGUAGAGGGGUUUUAGUCGGUAGGUCCGAGGAUUUCUUCCUCGGGAAUCCGACACUACCCAGUCGUACGGACUGCUGGGUGUCUUUUGAAGAUUUCCCCUCUCCACGAAA